UACGGAGGGUGCAAGCGUUGUCCGGAUUUAUUGGGUUUAAAGGGUGCGUAGGCGGCCUUAUAAGUCAGUGGUGAAAGCCCAUCGCUCAACGAUGGAACUGCCAUUGAUACUGUAAGGCUUGAGUACAGACGAGGUAGGCGGAAUUGAUGGUGUAGCGGUGAAAUGCAUAGAUACCAUCAAGAACACCGAUUGCGUAGGCAGCUCGCUGGGACGUCACUGACGCUGAGACGCGAAAGCGUGGGGAGCAAACAGG
RNAcentral lists this ribosomal RNA (253 nucleotides) under uncultured bacterium. Its description in RNAcentral is "partial 16S ribosomal RNA". It matches the Rfam family "Bacterial small subunit ribosomal RNA", at positions 524 to 776 of the family's 1533-position model. The record is from RNAcentral.